AUAAUGAAUUGUGUUAUUAUGUUCAUUAGAUUAUGAGUAUCAGAGUAAGAGGAAGAGAGCCACUCCUUCAUAUGCUGCUCAUUGCAUUAACAGUUCAACCGCUCUUGGACCACCUUGUCCUCUGUAUGGGGUCACACAACCAACUGAAGCUGAAAUUGCUAAGAUGUCACUGAAGCAGUUAAGGUCUCCAGUGAAGAGGAAUAGCAUUGACAAAGAAAACUCGUCUUUUUUGGAAAAGAGGAAGACUAGAGAUGAGAGAGCUGGCUUAAGGAAGAGAGA
Amphimedon queenslandica is the source of this 279-nucleotide long non-coding RNA. RefSeq lists it as uncharacterized. The transcript is spliced from 2 exons. The record is from RefSeq and is a predicted model, not a curated record. Lineage: Eukaryota; Metazoa; Porifera; Demospongiae; Haplosclerida; Niphatidae.